GGGAUGAGGCACUGAGAAUAUCAAGUCUGCUUCAAAGUCAACUUGAAUUUUAGCUAUACAACCCUACUUGUAGGUCAAAUGUACCUUCUCCCUGGUCAGAUGUGAGGCAUGAAGUCAAGGACCUGACGAUUGGGACGGAAGACAGGAAGGGUCUCUUUCCAUCUCUGUCCCUGUCUCUCUCUUACAGGUGCUGGCCUCCUGGGCCCCAGUUUUAGGCAUGGAACAUCACUGUCACUUAACAGUCCGUAGCCGGCUGGAGGAUGACAGGCACUGAGCAUAAAAACUCCCUUCGAUUUGGAAUCUCACUAGACCGAAUAGUAUCUUGAAGACCACUUCGCAGGGCAUUCUCAGUGAAGGCAUUCAACUGAUGUGUAAUUCAUUCUAAUUUGAAGCUAUGACAACAUCGGCCAGUUGUUGUCUAUAUGUAAAAUCUUGGUCCUGAAGAAAAGCCAGUUGGGAAACCACAAUUUCAUACCUGUCAAAUUUUCUCUGUUCAAAACAGUCUGCAAGAUUUAAACCCUUUAAAACAUACACUGAAUGUUUUAUUAAGACUUCUGAAUGCAUUAUUAUAGUGCAUUAUUAAGGCUUUCCAAGAAACAAGAUAGAAAAGCCUAAAUGUAUUCAUUUGAAAUGAUUUGCAGAUGUGUCAAUCCAGGUUUAAAUGUGUAUUUUAGCUGGGGUUUACAUCACCACCCAGAUCUUUUAAUAAAUAAAACCCCCCGUGUUAUGAAUACAUAUUAGAGUGACACUACUGACAUUUAGAUCCAGUGUGAUUAUUCAGAUAGGGGAUAAAGAGCCAAAGCCCCCCCUCCCACACACACACACACACACACACACACACAACCGUUAGUUCAGGAAGGAAGAGCCCACCACAACGCAGUCUGCUGCUAAUGAGCCAAUUAUCUCUGCACUGCAACACAGGAAGUCGUGGCCGUAAAAGAGUGACUUCUUUUUUAUUCAUCAUUUUUACAAGAGCAUGUCAGCCAGCUCUCUGACACUGAAAAUGUUAGACGGGUAUAAGGGCUUAUUAGACAAGCCUAGUUUUUAAUGCUUUUAUAUUACUUCUAUACCAAAGCAUAUUAAUAUUAAUUUAUUAAACUUCGUGACCUUAUAAGUUUUCAUGGGUUCACAACCUAAAAAAUGGGAAAUGCAGUAAAGUUGGGUCAUGAAUCACUCAUAUAUUUGUGAUGAUGGCGUUAUGACUAAUGUUACACUGCUGUGAUGCUGCUCACAUUAUGACUGUCUGACAGUGCCAUCUGGUGGAUAGCAAAUGUUUAAAUAAAUAAGCUUUCAUUUAUGGGCCAGUGGAGAGCCUGUAAGAAUUUAUUUUUGUCUUUCACAGUCAUAGCCUUCCAAUAAUUGAGUGGUUCAGUGCCUGUAAAACUGAUAGAGAGAUGAAUAUGCCCCAGAGGGAAUAUCCAAGAGAUACUACUCCCAGAUUCUCUACUGCAUUUAAUUUUGUGAUGGCUCACUAUUAUAUAACCUUUACUGUACUAUCAAUCACAUUGGUAUAACUGUCCUGAUAUACCAAUAGGACAUGUCAGUUUCCAUAACAGCCAGGCCGA
Molecule: long non-coding RNA, 1565 nt
Organism: Rhinichthys klamathensis goyatoka
Lineage: Eukaryota; Metazoa; Chordata; Actinopteri; Cypriniformes; Leuciscidae
Exons: 3
Source: RefSeq, a predicted model, not a curated record